RNAcentral lists this ribosomal RNA (497 nucleotides) under uncultured bacterium. Its description in RNAcentral is "partial 16S ribosomal RNA". It matches the Rfam family "Bacterial small subunit ribosomal RNA", at positions 28 to 507 of the family's 1533-position model. The record is from RNAcentral.
GAUGAACGCUGGCGGCGUGCCUAAUACAUGCAAGUCGAGCGAACGGACGAGAAGCUUGCUUCUCUGAUGUUAGCGGCGGACGGGUGAGUAACACGUGGAUAACCUACCUAUAAGACUGGGAUAACUUCGGGAAACCGGAGCUAAUACCGGAUGAUAUUUUGAACCGCAUGGUUCAAAAGUGAAAGACGGUCUUGCUGUCACUUAUAGAUGGAUCCGCGCUGCAUUAGCUAGUUGGUAAGGUAACGGCUUACCAAGGCAACGAUGCAUAGCCGACCUGAGAGGGGUAUCGGACACCAUGGAAAUUAGGCACGGUCCCAACUCCUACGGGAGGGAGGAGUAAGGAAUCUUCCGCAAUGGGCGAAAGCCUGACGGAGCAACGCCGCGUGAGUGAUGAAGGUCUUCGGAUCGUAAAACUCUGUUAUUAGGGAAGAACAUAUGUGUAAGUAACUGUGCACAUCUUGACGGUACCUAAUCAGAAAGCCACGGCUAACUACGUG